Molecule: ribosomal RNA, 482 nt
Filed under: uncultured bacterium
Lineage: Bacteria
Description: partial 16S ribosomal RNA
Rfam family: Bacterial small subunit ribosomal RNA
Source: RNAcentral
GACGAACGCUGGCGGCGUGCUUAACACAUGCAAGUCGAACGCUGAAGCUCAGCUUGCUGGGUGGAUGAGUGGCGAACGGGUGAGUAACACGUGAGUAACCUGCCCUCUUCUUUGGGAUAACGCCCGGAAACGGGUGCUAAUACUGGAUAUUCACUGAUUCUUGCAUGGGGGUUGGUGGAAAGGUUUGUUCUGGUGGGGGAUGGGCUCGCGGCCUAUCAGCUUGUUGGUGGGGUGAUGGCCUACCACGGCUUUGACGGGUAGUCGGCCUGGGAGGGUGACCGGUCACAUUGGGACUGAUCUACGGCCCAGACUCCUACGGGAGGCAGCAGUGGGGAAUAUUGCACAAUGGGCGAAAGCCUGAAUCAGCGACGCCGCGUGAGGGAUGGAGGCCUGCAGGGUGUAAUCCUCUUGCGCUCAAGGUCAAGCCGCAGCUUUGGGUUGUGGUGAGGGUAGUGAGUAAAGAAGCGCCGGCUAACUACGUG